UUGUUUGGACAAACAGUAUUCUGGUUGUGUCUCUUCAGUAGCUUGUUCUUGUACUUGCCAACUUUCAUCAUCAUCCUCCACAUCUUGAAGUUCUUGCUCUCUUCUUAACAUGAGUGCAUUCAAUGAGAUGGCCAUUUGACCCAUUUGUUGUUGCAUCAUUUGCAAGGUCUUCAUAACCUCAUUAUUAGUAUCAGUGUCCAUUGGUGGUGCUGGUUGGGCUUGAUAUCCUUGAUAAUCUUGGUAGUUGUUAGNNNN
RNAcentral lists this long non-coding RNA (255 nucleotides) under Manihot esculenta (cassava). RNAcentral's name for it is "long non-coding RNA (MESC_LNC002363)". The record is from RNAcentral. Lineage: Eukaryota; Viridiplantae; Streptophyta; Magnoliopsida; Malpighiales; Euphorbiaceae.